This 498-nucleotide ribosomal RNA is filed under the name uncultured bacterium. RNAcentral describes it as "partial 16S ribosomal RNA". It matches the Rfam family "Bacterial small subunit ribosomal RNA", at positions 28 to 507 of the family's 1533-position model. The record is from RNAcentral.
GACGAACGCUGGCGGCGUGCCUAAUACAUGCAAGUUGAGCGCUGAAGGUUGGUACUUGUACCAACUGGAUGAGCAGCGAACGGGUGAGUAACGCGUGGGGAAUCUGCCUUUGAGCGGGGGACAACAUUUGGAAACGAAUGCUAAUACCGCAUAAAAACUUUAAACACAAGUUUUAAGUUUGAAAGAUGCAAUUGCAUCACUCAAAGAUGAUCCCGCGUUGUAUUAGCUAGUUGGUGAGGUAAAGGCUCACCAAGGCGAUGAUACAUAGCCGACCUGAGAGGGUGAUCGGCCACAUUGGGACUGAGACACGGCCCAAAACUCCUACGGGAGGCAGCAGUAGGGAAUCUUCGGCAAUGGACGAAAGUCUGACCGAGCAACGCCGCGUGAGUGAAGAAGGUUUUCGGAUCGUAAAACUCUGUUGGUAGAGAAGAACGUUGGUGAGAGUGGAAAGCUCAUCAAGUGACGGUAACUACCCAGAAAGGGACGGCUAACUACGUG